GGUUCCGAAGCUCGAGUUGGCGAAGAGCGCUCGUCUUGUAAACGAGAUAUCGUGAGUUCGAUUCCCACCGGAACCUCCA
This 79-nucleotide transfer RNA is filed under the name Pleurocapsa sp. SU_196_0. RNAcentral describes it as "tRNA-Thr". It matches the Rfam family "tRNA". Rfam says of the family: Transfer RNA (tRNA) molecules are approximately 80 nucleotides in length. Their secondary structure includes four short double-helical elements and three loops (D, anti-codon, and T loops). Lineage: Bacteria; Bacillati; Cyanobacteriota; Cyanophyceae; Pleurocapsales; Pleurocapsaceae. The record is from RNAcentral.